UUGGUGGCGUAUUAGAUCCAAGUCGAUGGCGGCAUUAGAGGACAAUAGUUGGUGCGAGAAGGGCAUGAUGGAUGUGUGUCGAAGCACAAGGCGGGAGUGAUAUGUGGUAGGAGUUCAUCAUGUGGCGAGGCUUUGGCACAAACACAACGUUAGGUGCUAAGAGAGGUGUGACGUCAAUGUGAUGAGGGUGACUAGUGACCAAAGCAAGGACCAAGAAGACAAAGGAAAUUGUUUAACAAGUUGUCACAAACCUAAUGGAAACUAGUCCAAAAGGAGAAGGGCUACCACCAAGGAUGGUGCAUUGCAUUGAAG
RNAcentral lists this long non-coding RNA (312 nucleotides) under Lupinus angustifolius (narrow-leaved blue lupine). Its description in RNAcentral is "long non-coding RNA (LANG_LNC001096)". Lineage: Eukaryota; Viridiplantae; Streptophyta; Magnoliopsida; Fabales; Fabaceae. The record is from RNAcentral.